CCUACGGGAGGCAGCAGUGGGGAAUAUUGGACAAUGGGCGAAAGCYUGAUCCAGCCAUGCCGCGUGUGUGAAGAAGGCYUUAGGGUUGUAAAGCACUUUAAGCGAGGAGGAAAUGUUCUAGGCUAAUACCCUUGAGCAGUGACGUUACUCGCAGAAUAAGCACCGGCUAACUCUGUGCCAGCAGCCGCGGUAAUACAGAGGGUGCAAGCGUUAAUCGGAAUUACUGGGCGUAAAGCGCGCGUAGGCGGUUACGUAAGUUGGAGGUGAAAUCCCCGAGCUCAACUUGGGAAUUGCCUUCAAAACUGCGUGGCUAGAGUGUGGGAGAGGAAGGUAGAAUUCCAGGUGUAGCGGUGAAAUGCGUAGAUAUCUGGAGGAAUACCGAUGGCGAARGCAGCCUUCUGGCCUAACACUGACGCUGAGGUGCGAAAGUAUGGGGAGCAAACAGGAUUAGAUACCCUGGUAGUCCAUGCCGUAAACGAUGUCUACUAGCCGUUGGAGGACUUGAUCCUUUAGUGGCGCAGCUAACGCAUUAAGUAGACCGCCUGGGGAAGUACGGUCGCAAGACUAAAACUCAAAGGAAUUGACGGGG
This 589-nucleotide ribosomal RNA is filed under the name uncultured bacterium. RNAcentral's name for it is "bacterial SSU rRNA". It matches the Rfam family "Bacterial small subunit ribosomal RNA", at positions 338 to 918 of the family's 1533-position model. The record is from RNAcentral.